This 193-nucleotide ribosomal RNA is filed under the name uncultured bacterium. Its description in RNAcentral is "partial 16S ribosomal RNA". It matches the Rfam family "Bacterial small subunit ribosomal RNA", at positions 532 to 724 of the family's 1533-position model. The record is from RNAcentral.
UAGCAAGCACCCGUCGGAAUUACUGGGCGUAAAGGGCUCGUAGGCGGCCAACUAAGUCAGACGUGAAAUCCCCAGGCUUAACCUGGGAACUGCGUCUGAUACUGGAUGGCUUGAAUUCGGGAGAGGGAUGCAGAAUUCCAGGUGUAGCGGUGCCCUCUCAAGAUAUCUGGAAGCCCCACUGUGGCGAAGGCGG